AUGAAAUCUAACUGGGCACCUCGGCCCGAUAAUAUUCCGGUUGAAUUUUAUCAACAUUGCUGGGAGGUCGUAGCUCCGGACCUAUUUGCUCUGUUUGAAUGGUUCUAUGAGGGGAAACUGGAUGUGCAAAGGUUGAACUAUUGCAUUAUUACCUUAUUGCCUAAGUCGAUUGAUGCUAGUAGAAUACAGCAAUACAGACCAAUUUGUUUAUUGCGUUGUCCGUACAAACUUAUUACCAAGGUCAUGGACCUUAGGGCUGGAAAAUAUGCACAUAAACUGUUUAGCAUACAGCAAAAUGCUUUUAUCAAGGGGAGGCAUAUAGUAGAUGGCAUUUUAUCCCUACAUGAGAUUAUGCACUACACUCAUAUCAAAAAACAAAAAGGAGUGAUUCUCAAACUUGACUUUGAGAAAGCCUAUGACAAAGUCAAUUGGAACUUU
This 438-nucleotide ribosomal RNA is filed under the name Triticum aestivum (bread wheat). Its description in RNAcentral is "partial small subunit ribosomal RNA". Lineage: Eukaryota; Viridiplantae; Streptophyta; Magnoliopsida; Poales; Poaceae. The record is from RNAcentral.